AUUCCCCCAAUUACACCAAACCCUAACUCACUUCUCUCUCUUUAAACACACACACGACAUCCUCUUCUUCCCAUCCUCUCUCUCUCCCCUCCUCGUCCCAUUUGGUCGCCGUCGUUUGACACUACAAUGGAGAUCGUUGCUGUAAGCAGGGAGCUCCGAUCGCCUCUUCUCCCUUUUCUUCCCUUCUUCUUAGAAUCCUCUUCUCCUUCUCUCUCUCUAUCCUCUCCUUCACAAUGGCCGCCAUCGCCGAAUACUACAGCAGAGCUCGUCGUUGUGAGCAGCCGUCGCUUCGCGCAAUUCCAGUGUCGAUGCAUCUUUGCCCAAUGCGUGGUUUGUAGGUACACACAUAUCACAGCGAUCCAUGGUUUUGCCUCUGUGCUCGAUAAGUGUUUUCGCAAAGUUGAAGCCAGUGGGUCAACCCUAAUGUAGGGCAGGCAAUAGUUCUGUGGUGGUGGAUCUUGUGGUUGCAAGUGGCGGUGGUCGUGGUGGAGUUGGUGGUGGUAUGUCACCGACUAUUUGAGCUGUUACCAAUCGUUGGUGCAGUGAUGAUUUUCAUGUGGUGAUGGUGGUGUUGGUGAUUAUUGUGAUGGUGUUGUGGCGGGGUGUAUAGUGUUUGUGAGCAAGUAUUGUGGUGGAAUGAGAUCUAGAUUAGGUGUGGUGCAAGUGUUGAUUGGGUGGUGGUGAUUUGUGGUCAAGAUUGGUGCUGGAUCGGGACCUGUGUAGUGGGGUGUUUGGAAUCUAUGAUCAACUAUUUGAAAUCUGCGACCAACUAUUUCACUGAUUUGUGACAAAAAAUUAGGUGUUUAUGACUAAAAAAUAAAUUGUGACAUAUGUAACCCAUACAUAAAAUGUGAUCUGUAAUUUGAAUGAUUCGUGACCUAAAAAUAAUUUCGUGACGUACAAAGUUUUUGAUUUGUGACAUCGAAAUAAUAUGUGAC
Molecule: long non-coding RNA, 938 nt
Filed under: Olea europaea (common olive)
Lineage: Eukaryota; Viridiplantae; Streptophyta; Magnoliopsida; Lamiales; Oleaceae
Description: long non-coding RNA (OEUR_LNC014989)
Source: RNAcentral